GGGGUUGUUGCUCAGUGGUAGAGUGCUCACCUAGCAUGUGAGAUACCCUGGGUUGGAUCCUCAGCACCA
This 69-nucleotide transfer RNA is filed under the name Ictidomys tridecemlineatus (thirteen-lined ground squirrel). RNAcentral's name for it is "Spermophilus tridecemlineatus (thirteen-lined ground squirrel) tRNA". It matches the Rfam family "tRNA". From Rfam's summary of the family: Transfer RNA (tRNA) molecules are approximately 80 nucleotides in length. Their secondary structure includes four short double-helical elements and three loops (D, anti-codon, and T loops). Lineage: Eukaryota; Metazoa; Chordata; Mammalia; Rodentia; Sciuridae. The record is from Rfam by way of RNAcentral.